Etheostoma cragini (Arkansas darter) is the source of this 1176-nucleotide long non-coding RNA. RefSeq lists it as uncharacterized. The record is from RefSeq and is a predicted model, not a curated record. NCBI's taxonomy places the organism in Eukaryota, Metazoa, Chordata, Actinopteri, Perciformes, Percidae. The transcript has 2 exons.
ACUGUCUUAAGAUCCUAAAACCAGCUCUAAACAGGAGUUCAACUAUAGAUUCCAUUAUGAUACCAACAAUCAUAAACCACAGUGUGAGUCAGACGUUCCCUGGUAGUUGAUGUAGUAAAUUAUAGAUCUGAUGCCAAAGCAUUAAUGGCUCGGACCCAAACACCAACGGUCCUUUUUCAGAUGCUGUUCCUGUUUCUGUUCAAGUAGAACAAAAUCCCCCAAAGUCUUAGAAUCAGAUGUAAAAAAAGUUUUCCUGUGCUUGUAAAGAGUUAAACACCAAAUCCAGGUAAGUUCCGGAUACCUUACUGAAGGUUUCUUUGUCUAGUGUUGCCUCAUAUCUGCCAAAAGAGACUUCAGAACAUGCUUUUUAAAUCUAAUUGGCUACUUUGAGUCCUUGUUAGGGAAGUCCCUGGUUGAUGUCAUGUUGCUGACUCGGCUCCCUUUUAGCGGACUCUGUCAGGCCUGGGCCUGGAGCCGGUCUCGGACUCUGCAGGUUGAAGCUGCAUGUGCAGUGAUGUGAACCUUGGACUUCUCUUUGGCAGACACGAGAUGUCCCAAUCAUUCAUGCUCGUCACAUAUUGCAGCUGAAGGAUGAGAAACUAUUUAGAUUUACCAGAGUGAGUCUGAGAGAGAGGAGUGGGACUCGUAAUGCUCAUUGGAUCAGUCGAGUAAAAACAGUAAUAAUCACAUUAUUUAUCUCUGUUUCCGUGGAUACCAGUGGUCAUGAAGAAACAAAAGACGGGAUUGUUCCAGUACCAAAGCCACCACGACACAUCUCAUAUUACCAAAAACAGCUUCAGCCAAACCUCCAGAAUGAGUUUGUGUGUGCUCAGGAGGGGUGGACCCAGAACAAAGAUGGCCGACCUCUGGAUGACAUCUACACACAUCUGUACAUCAGAGCUACUGGUGACGUACACAUCAACACACAGCAUGAGGUCAUGCAGCUUGAAGCGGUGAAGCCAGCCGAUACAGAGACAACAAUUACACCUUGUGACAUGUUCAAACACCCCUCUAUAGAAGACAAAGCCAUAAGGACAGUACUGACCAAUGGAAUCGCAGGAAUUGGAAAAACCUUUCUAGUGAACAAGUUUGUGUUGGACUGGUGUAAAGGAGAAACCAAUCAAGAUCUCCAUCUCAUUUUCCCCUUCACCUUCCGCCAGCUGAAUUUAAAGAAGG